CCAAAACUUAGCUGUCUGGCCGCAAGGUCGUGACGCUUCAACCCUUUGUGAACCAAAAAACCUUUCGCUUCGGCAGCUGGGCCAGCUGGAAACAGUCGUCCCAUCAGCCUGCCGUUAGCACCAACCUUUAAAACUUGCAGUCAAAAACAUUGUCUGAACACCAAAUUUUCGAAUGAAAAUCA
Molecule: unclassified non-coding RNA, 182 nt
Filed under: uncultured Dactylellina
Lineage: Eukaryota; Fungi; Ascomycota; Orbiliomycetes; Orbiliales; Orbiliaceae
Description: sequence contains ITS1
Source: RNAcentral